Molecule: ribosomal RNA, 395 nt
Filed under: uncultured bacterium
Lineage: Bacteria
Description: partial 16S ribosomal RNA
Rfam family: Bacterial small subunit ribosomal RNA
Source: RNAcentral
CCUACGGGAGGCAGCAGUGAGGAAUAUUGGUCAAUGGACGCAAGUCUGAACCAGCCAUGCCGCGUGCAGGACGACGGCUCUAUGAGUUGUAAACUGCUUUUGUCCGGGGACAAACGCAGCCUCGCGUAUCUGUCUGAAAGUACUGUACGAAUAAGCAUCGGCUAACUCCGUGCCAGCAGCCGCGGUAAUACGGAGGAUUCAAGCGUUAUCCGGAUUUAUUGGGUUUAAAGGGUGCGUAGGCGGUCGGGUAAGUUAGAGGUGAAAUCCCGGGGCGCAACUUCGGAAUUGCCUUUGAUACUGUUCGGCUAGAGAUGUGGAGCGGUAGGCGGAAUGUGUGGUGUAGCGGUGAAAUGCUUAGAGAUCGUGCAGAACACCGAUUGCGAAGGCAGCAUACC